GAAGUAGAGAAGCUCCCAUCAGAUCACCUUCAACACCAACCAUGUUCUCUGUGGCUCUGCUAGUGCUGCUGGCUGCUGGAUCCUGUGUGAAGUGUGAGCAGUUGACACAGCUGGCCUCUGUGACUGUGCAGCCAGGUCAACGUCUGACCAUCAGCUGUCAGGUCUCUUAUGCUCUGAGCAGCUACACAGCUUGGAUCAGACAGCCUGCAGGGAAAGGACUGGAGUGGAUUGGAAGCAACUGUGUUGGGUGCACUGCAAUAUACAAAGAUUCACUGAAGAACAAGUUCAGUAUCAGCUUCGACUCUUCCAGCAACACAGUGACUCUAAACCAGGGGUCGGGAACCUUUUUGGCUGGGAGAGCAAUAAAAGCCAAAUAUUUUUUUAAUGUAUUUCUUUGAGAGCCAUAUAUUUAAUACAU
This is a non-coding RNA of Cottoperca gobio, 418 nucleotides long. Lineage: Eukaryota; Metazoa; Chordata; Actinopteri; Perciformes; Bovichtidae. The record is from the annotation of a RefSeq genome assembly.